UGAACAGAACAGGGACGGGGCUCGCGAUCUCUUCCUCCCGACUUAGGCUAGGGCAGGCGACUUCUCCCACGCGCACCUCUUCUUCCUUUCUUCUCCUUACCACCAGCCGACGACAUCUUUUCUUUCCUUGCCGCCGGUCGGCCAACCCUUUCUACUUUAUUUUCUUCUCGUAUUGUCAGCAUCUCUUCCCCGAUCCUCCACAUCCAUUUCUCCUCUUCUCCGAUUUGCUCAAGUCGGCGACGACAGCAGCUCCGGCGGUCUCUUUGAGCAGACAGUGGCGUGGGUCUAGGGUUGCCUUGACAGUGGAGCUUUCUCCUCUGGCAAGCCUUCACCUGUGGACGGCAUUCCGAAAGCAGUGACCCUCCAUCUUAAAUGCAGUGACCAUCCAAUUCUGGUAGAAGCAAGCUUACUCUCAAUUUGUGUGUCAAUUUCCAGCCAAUCAGAGAUCAAUCAUUGAGUUGCUAUUAACCAGUGAUGGCGUUCUAGAUCUAGGCCUCCGUGUGACGACGGAGGUAGUUGAAUUGGUGUAUGAUUGUGGAGGAGUGGAUUUGGUUGGUUAGUUUGUUUCCAUGUUUGAUUUGCUUUAUCUUUCUUCUUAUGCAUUUUGGAUAUUGUAGUUUCUGUUUUGAUUCAUGUUUGAAUUACUUAGUUGUUAGUUUACUUUCAUGUUAA
Molecule: long non-coding RNA, 672 nt
Organism: Zingiber officinale
Lineage: Eukaryota; Viridiplantae; Streptophyta; Magnoliopsida; Zingiberales; Zingiberaceae
Exons: 2
Source: RefSeq, a predicted model, not a curated record